ACGGGUACGGGUUGUGAGAGCAAGAGCCCGGAGAUGGAUUCUGAGACACGAAUCCAGGCCCUACGGGGUGCAGCAGGCGCGAAAACUUUACAAUGCUGGCAACAGCGAUAAGGGAACCUCGAGUGCCAGGUUACAAAUCUGGCUGUCGAGAUGCCUAAAAAGCAUUUCAUAGCAAGGGCCGGGCAAGACCGGUGCCAGCCGCCGCGGUAACACCGGCGGCUCGAGUGGUAACCGUUAUUAUUGGGUCUAAAGGGUCUGUAGCCGGCCGGAUAAGUCUCUUGAGAAAUCUGGCAGCUUAACUGUCAGGCUUUCAGGAGAUACUGUCUGGCUCGAGGCCGGGAGAGGUGAGAGGUACUUCAGGGGUAGGGGUGAAAUCUUGUAAUCCUUGAAGGACCACCAGUGGCGAAGGCGUCUCACCAGAACGGACCUGACGGCAAGGGACGAAAGCUAGGGGCACGAACCGGAUUAGAUACCCGGGUAGUCCUAGCCGUAAACGAUACUCGCUAGGUGUCGGCCACGGUGCGACCGUUGUCGGUGCCGUAGGAAGCCGUGAAGCGAGCCACCUGGGAAGUACG
This 575-nucleotide ribosomal RNA is filed under the name uncultured archaeon. RNAcentral's name for it is "bacterial SSU rRNA". It matches the Rfam family "Archaeal small subunit ribosomal RNA", at positions 263 to 839 of the family's 1478-position model. The record is from RNAcentral.